Long non-coding RNA from Lemur catta (Ring-tailed lemur), 948 nucleotides. RefSeq lists it as uncharacterized. The transcript has 3 exons. Lineage: Eukaryota; Metazoa; Chordata; Mammalia; Primates; Lemuridae. The record is from RefSeq and is a predicted model, not a curated record.
CGGUGCGGGGGAGCGCGGGGAGCGCGAAGGCAGGCGGCGCACGGCUGGCGGAGUCUCGCGGCGAGCGGGAGGGGGUCGCAGGGACGGGAUGGUGGCCUGACAGAGAGCGGCCGUCUCGGUAAUGGCCGGACACUGCUAUGCUAAAAGCCCCUGAACACUCUCUCCACCCCUCCCUUGAAGAGUUUGCAAUCUGUAGAAGAAACAAGGCAGGGACACGUACUUUUCCACUAAAAGAGAAUGACGAUUUUUUUCUUUUUUAAACCACACUAACAGUUUAAAAAAGAAAGAAAGAAAGAAAGAAAGAAAGAAAGAAAGAAAGAAAGAAAGAAAGAAAAAAAAAACCUCAAACGACGAAAGUUGAAACUCACUGGCCGGUCUAGAAAGGGAAGGAUGCUAUCAAGAGGAAGAAGGGACAUGAUCAAUGAAAGUCUCUGAUGAGACAACAGGGAAUUGGUUCAAGAGUACAGAGGAGGCAUCAGCCUUUCAGAGUUGUGCUUCUGAUUCUUGCCGUGGCUGUCUUUGUUGCCAUCACCAUAGCAGUUCACAAUGGGUCAUAAAGCAGUGGAGACAACUCGCAACAUCAGCAACGCAUUUGGCCCAGAAGCUGCUAAGGAAUGUACAGUGCAGUGGUGGUUUAAGAAGUUUUGCAAGGAGACGAGAGCCCUGAAGAGGAGUGCAGUGGCCGACCAUCAGAAGUUGACAGCAACCAAUUGACAGCAAUCAUUGAAGCUGAUCCUCUAACGAAUAUAGGAGAAGUUGCUGAAGAACUCAAUGUUGAGCAUUCAUUCUGUGGUCAUUUGGCAUUUGAAACAAAUUGGAAAAGUGAAAAAGCUCAAUAAGUGGGUGCCUCAUGAGCUGUCUGAAAAUAAAAAAAAUCACCAUUUUGAAGUGUCAUCUUUUAUUGUGCAUAAAAACAAUGAAACCCACCAUCUCUAACGAAAUUACAAU